GGCGUAAAGGGCUCGUAGGUGGUUGAUCGCGUCGGAAGUGUAAUCUUGGGGCUUAACCCUGAGCGUGCUUUCGAUACGGGUUGACUUGAGGAAGGUAGGGGAGAAUGGAAUUCCUGGUGGAGCGGUGGAAUGCGCAGAUAUCAGGAGGAACACCAGUGGCGAAGGCGGUUCUCUGGGCCUUUCCUGACGCUGAGGAGCGAAAGCGUGGGGAGCGAACAGGCUUAGAUACCCUGGUAGUCCACGCUGUAAACGGUGGGUACUAGGUGUGGGGUCCAUUCCACGGGUUCCGUGCCGUAGCUAACGCUUUAAGUACCCCGCCUGGGGAGUACGGCCGCAAGGCUAAAACUCAAAGGAAUUGACGGGGCCCCGCACAAGCGGCGGAGCAUGCGGAUUAAUUCGAUGCAACGCGUAGAACCUUACCUGGGUUUGACAUGGAUCGGGAGUGCUCAGAGAUGGGUGUGCCUCUUUUGGGGUCGGUUCACAGGUGGUGCAUGGCUGUCGUCAGCUCGUGUCGUGAGAUGUUGGGUUAAGUCCCGCAACGAGCGCAACCCUUGUUCACUGUUGCCAGCACGUUAUGGUGGGGACUCAGUGGAGACCGCCGGGGUCAACUCGGAGGAAGGU
RNAcentral lists this ribosomal RNA (621 nucleotides) under uncultured Actinomycetes bacterium. RNAcentral describes it as "bacterial SSU rRNA". It matches the Rfam family "Bacterial small subunit ribosomal RNA", at positions 557 to 1174 of the family's 1533-position model. The record is from RNAcentral. Lineage: Bacteria; Bacillati; Actinomycetota; Actinomycetes.